Molecule: ribosomal RNA, 260 nt
Filed under: uncultured bacterium
Lineage: Bacteria
Description: partial 16S ribosomal RNA
Rfam family: Bacterial small subunit ribosomal RNA
Source: RNAcentral
UACGGAGGAUCCGAGCGUUAUCCGGAUUUAUUGGGUUUAAAGGGUGCGUAGGCGGCCUGGUAAGUUCAGGGGUGAAAGACGGAUAGCUUAACUAUCGCAGUGCCCUUGAUGACUGCUGGGCGUUGAAUGUUAGUUGAGGUAGGCGGAAUGUGACAAGUAGCGGUGAAAAUGCAUAGAUAUGUCACAGAACACCAAUUGCGAAGGCAGCUUACUAAAGUAUGAUUGACGCUGGAGGCACGAAAGCGUGGGGAUCAAACAGG